CAGACAGCCCUGAUUGCUAUUCCAAUGUCAUCACAAACCCCCAGGAUGCUUGGAAGGCCAAGGAAUCAAGGUCAGCUGUAUCCACAGCCCUAGUCUCAAGCCUUCAUCCUCUUACCCGAUAGCAGGCGAUUCCCAGUCCUAGCCAGAUAGAUGAGCCCCAGUCUCAGGAAGAUGAAGUGCAUCUCAGAAGCAUCCACUACAAAGCUAAUGGUUCGUUCAUAGCAUGCCUUGGCCUCAGAAUGAUUUCCACUCAGAAAAUAGAGAUGGCCCUUCAGGCCCCAGACAUUGGGGUUCUGGGAAAGUGAAAAGCAAGUAGUAUAUGGGAUAAGGUAGUAUUUAAAAGUACCUUGAUGAUCUUUGUUUAACAUUUAAAUUUAGAUAGAUUGUCCAUUUCCUUUCUCUUUUCUUUUUCAGAUCAACCGUUUUCUUUUUCUAAGAGCACUCAGAAACAUAACCAUUUAAUUGUACAAGGAGACAUUUUUCUAGCUCUGCCCUCAGAUUUCUUUCUUGCAUUCUUCAAAGCCAUUUUGGGUGUGGAGUAAAUAUUAAGAAAAACAUUCAAGCAUAACCCCAAUACUGUUCACAUGAGAAAAUAUAAGAAAUCUAGAAAAAUUGAAAUAAACACUAUCAGCUAAAGAU
Molecule: long non-coding RNA, 639 nt
Filed under: Homo sapiens (human)
Lineage: Eukaryota; Metazoa; Chordata; Mammalia; Primates; Hominidae
Description: HSALNT0164321
Source: RNAcentral